CAGUAGCGUAUAUUAAAGUUGUUGCAGUUAAAAAGCUCGUAGUUGGAUUUCUGGUACGCUGCGCCUGGCCCGCCCGCGUUAGCGGUGUGAGUGUCGGUGCGCGGUUGCCAUCCUUCUAGAGAACGGGUCUACCCUUCACUGGGCCGGAUUCGGGAUCUAGAUCAUUUACUUUGAAAAAAUUAAGAGUGUUUAAAGCAGGCUUUUGCUAUGAAUACAUUAGCAUGGAAUAAUAAUAUAGGACUUGGUUCUAUUUUGUUGGUUUCUAGGACUAAAGUAAAUGAUUGAUAGGGAUAGUUGGGGGUUGGCUAGUAUUCAGCGGCCAGAGGUGGAAAUUACUUGGAUUCGCUGAAGACUAACUUAUGCGAAAGCAUUCACCAAGG
RNAcentral lists this ribosomal RNA (380 nucleotides) under uncultured eukaryote. RNAcentral's name for it is "SSU rRNA". It matches the Rfam family "Eukaryotic small subunit ribosomal RNA", at positions 592 to 963 of the family's 1831-position model. The record is from RNAcentral.